RNAcentral lists this small nuclear RNA (107 nucleotides) under Ailuropoda melanoleuca (giant panda). The record is from RNAcentral. Lineage: Eukaryota; Metazoa; Chordata; Mammalia; Carnivora; Ursidae.
GCCCUCGCUUGGGCAGCACACACCCUAAAAUUGGAACGACACAGAGGAGAUUAGCAACGGUCUUGCACAAGAAUGACAUGGAAAUUGAUGACGCUUUCCAUAUUUAA